This 134-nucleotide ribosomal RNA is filed under the name uncultured eukaryote. RNAcentral's name for it is "partial small subunit ribosomal RNA". It matches the Rfam family "Eukaryotic small subunit ribosomal RNA", at positions 1651 to 1783 of the family's 1831-position model. The record is from RNAcentral.
CCCUGCCAUUUGUACACACCGCCCGUCGCUUCUACCGAUGAAUGAUCCGGUGAACACUUUGGACUUGUGUCUGUUCUGGGGCAACUCAGUCGGAUAACGAGGAAGUUGUGUAAACCUUAUCAUUUAGAGGAAGA